Molecule: long non-coding RNA, 457 nt
Filed under: Phoenix dactylifera (date palm)
Lineage: Eukaryota; Viridiplantae; Streptophyta; Magnoliopsida; Arecales; Arecaceae
Description: long non-coding RNA (PDAC_LNC013384)
Source: RNAcentral
CUUGAAAUAUGAGUAUGCAAAAGCACUUUAAGUGUGUGACUUGUUGAGUAACCGGGUGCAUCCAUCACAAAUGCUUGUAUUCGCGUCAAAAGGCGAGUGACAACUUAAAGACAAAGAAUAAUUUGCAAAAAAAAAAAAACUCUAGUUUGCUACCUUGUUUGUAGUAGUGAGAAAGGGUGAUUGCAGGUUGAGUUGUUACAUGAUUCAAUUGUGUUGGUCGCAUGAUAAAUAUGAUUGAGUUUGGAAUUAUAUAUGGAUAUUUGAUCUAGAGAAUGUGAGUAUGCUUAGUUUUUCUCUAUUUGCUAUUGUUUAUGUACUAAGUUGAAGAUUUGAUGUUUGCAUGAAAGGUCCUUUGGGUGGGAUGAGUUGAGCCUGACUAUGGUUAUUGUCCUUUGUUUUUAUGGUUUUUCUUUUGCUUGAGGACAAGCAAACAUUCAAGUUUGGGGGUAUUUGAUGU